CCAUAUCUUACUAGAAGCUCUUUAUUUUACAACUGACUAGAAUAUAUAGUAAUGCUUUAGAACUUAGGAGCGGGAAAGUACAAUUGCAAUAGAAAGUAAGUCUGAAAAAUUUAAAAGUGGUAGUUAUUCUGGAGCACAUCAGCUUCUUUCGUUUAGCGAUGAUUUCUCCAGCGGGUUAAUUAUUGAUUUAUAUCUUGAAGCAGACACACACAAAAUGCAACUUACCUUUGAAUCUUUUAGAAAUGAAGUAAGGUUGGUUAAGGUUUGGGUAUAUAUUAA
Long non-coding RNA from Zophobas morio, 279 nucleotides. RefSeq lists it as uncharacterized. The transcript has 3 exons. NCBI's taxonomy places the organism in Eukaryota, Metazoa, Arthropoda, Insecta, Coleoptera, Tenebrionidae. The record is from RefSeq and is a predicted model, not a curated record.